CCUACGGGAGGCAGCAGUGAGGAAUAUUGGUCAAUGGGCGCGAGCCUGAACCAGCCAAGUAGCGUGAAGGAUGACUGCCCUACGGGUUGUAAACUUCUUUUAUCAAGGAAUAAUUUGGUGCACGUGUGCCUUUUUGGAUGUACUUUAUGAAUAAGGAUCGGCUAACUCCGUGCCAGCAGCCGCGGUAAUACGGAGGAUCCGAGCGUUAUCCGGAUUUAUUGGGUUUAAAGGGUGCGUAGGCGGCCUUUUAAGUCAGCGGUGAAAGUUUGUGGCUCAACCAUAGAAUUUCAGUUGAAACUGGGAGGCUUGAGUAUGUUAGAGGCAGGCGGAAUGCGUGGUGUAGCGGUGAAAUGCUUAGAUAUCACGAAGAACCCCGAUUGCGAAGGCAGCUCACCGAGCUAUAACUGACACUGAGGCACGAAAGCGUGGGGAUCAAACAGGAUUAGAUACCCUUGUAGUC
This 460-nucleotide ribosomal RNA is filed under the name uncultured bacterium. RNAcentral's name for it is "partial 16S ribosomal RNA". It matches the Rfam family "Bacterial small subunit ribosomal RNA", at positions 338 to 795 of the family's 1533-position model. The record is from RNAcentral.